This 79-nucleotide transfer RNA is filed under the name Desmophyllum pertusum. Its description in RNAcentral is "tRNA-Arg". The record is from RNAcentral. Lineage: Eukaryota; Metazoa; Cnidaria; Anthozoa; Scleractinia; Caryophylliidae.
GACUCAGAUGCGGUGUCCUAAUGGUUAGCGCGUUGGACGCCGGAUCGAGCGGUCCAGGUUCAAGCCCUGGCCUGGGUCA